This 450-nucleotide ribosomal RNA is filed under the name uncultured bacterium. Its description in RNAcentral is "bacterial SSU rRNA". It matches the Rfam family "Bacterial small subunit ribosomal RNA", at positions 329 to 793 of the family's 1533-position model. The record is from RNAcentral.
GACCAGACUCCUACGGGAGGCAGCAGUGGGGGAUAUUGGACAAUGGGGGAAACCCUGAUCCAGCGACGCCGCGUGAGUGAAGAAGUAUUUCGGUAUGUAAAGCUCUAUCAGCAGGGAAGAAAGAAAUGACGGUACCUGAGUAAGAAGCCCCGGCUAACUACGUGCCAGCAGCCGCGGUAAUACGUAGGGGGCAAGCGUUAUCCGGAAUUACUGGGUGUAAAGGGAGCGUAGACGGUUAAGCAAGUCUGGAGUGGAAGGCGGGGGCCCAACCCCCGGACUGCUCUGGAAACUGUGUAACUGGAGUGCAGGAGAGGUAAGCGGAAUUCCUAGUGUAGCGGUGAAAUGCGAAGAUAUUAGGAGGAACACCAGUGGCGAAGGCGGCUUACUGGACUGUAACUGACGUUGAGGCUCGAAAGCGUGGGGAGCAAACAGGAUUAGAUACCCGCGUAG